RNAcentral lists this transfer RNA (72 nucleotides) under Camelus bactrianus (Bactrian camel). It matches the Rfam family "tRNA". Rfam says of the family: Transfer RNA (tRNA) molecules are approximately 80 nucleotides in length. Their secondary structure includes four short double-helical elements and three loops (D, anti-codon, and T loops). Further hydrogen bonds mediate the characteristic L-shaped molecular structure. tRNAs have two regions of fundamental functional importance: the anti-codon, which is responsible for specific mRNA codon recognition, and the 3' end, to which the tRNAs corresponding amino acid is attached (by aminoacyl-tRNA synthetases). tRNAs cope with the degeneracy of the genetic code in two manners: having more than one tRNA (with a specific anti-codon) for a particular amino acid; and 'wobble' base-pairing, i.e. permitting non-standard base-pairing at the 3rd anti-codon position. RNAcentral also lists the same sequence under 2 other names. Lineage: Eukaryota; Metazoa; Chordata; Mammalia; Artiodactyla; Camelidae. The record is from Rfam by way of RNAcentral.
GAGGGUAUAGCUCAGUGAUAGAUCACAUGCUUGGCCUGCAUGUGGUCCUGGGUUCAAUCCCCAGCACCUCCA